ACAAAAUAACAGACAUAAAUGCAUUUUCAUAUAAAGUCGGAUCCAAACAUCUGAUUCCACUAUUUGUUUUAGUUUCCUUUAACACUGAAAAUGAACAGAAGAUAAGGUUUACGAUUUUUAAAUGUUUAAUGAAGUUAAUGUUCAAUGUAUUCCUUACUGAAUAUGUAAUAUACAAGCUUCUGUAUUAUUUAUUUUAUUUUAAAUAUAUGCAGAUUUGUCCUUGUUAAUUAAUCCUUGUACUUGUUGUCCAAGUUGUAAUGUUUAAUUAAUUUGUAAAUGUGCUGUUAGUUAUGUGUGCUGUAUGUUUCUUUUCCGCCUCCUACUGGGGUUUUAAGGUACUGCACUAUAUUUCGCUGUUUGCUUCCGGUUUCUCUCAGUGAACACAGUCGAGAAGAACGUGCACGCAGUUCCUAUCAGCUAUUGAUUCUAUCGUUCAUAAGUUGGAAAUAUAUGUCUUUUUACAUAAAAGAAUUGAGAAGAACAAUCACCCACCAGUAAAGUUACUAAAGUUAUGAAGAUUGCUUUCUGGAGUUCUUUUCUGAAAGUGUAUGCUAUUUGUUAAGCCUUUGCUGAAGCUACGCAAUUGGUCAGAACAGAAUAAUAAAGAUCAUAGAGUUCAAGGGUCAUGGAGUGUUUAAAGCAAGGAGAAUACAGGCUAAAUACAAAGAAACACAGAAAUUCAUUGUGGUUUUACUCACAGGCUGGAUGACUGCCUUUGUAAUUUCAGAAGGGAUGACUAAAGGACUUUUGACUGAGGUUUUUGAUCAACACACUGGUAUCCAGAUGGAUUAAUAGUCCCUUGGAUAAACAGAGCCAUUCCUGGUUUUAUCCCUCCAGAAAUAGGACCAAUAUAAGGUUGGAUGACUGGGUUUUCAAGCUCUGAUGGGAUGGGUAACAUUUUCAAGAACGAUCUCCCCAAGCCUUUGAUUUUCGAUUGCUCCAUACAUAGAGAAGUUUUGCUCCAGUUCUGAAGAUUAAAA
This is a long non-coding RNA of Tachysurus fulvidraco (yellow catfish), 980 nucleotides long. RefSeq lists it as uncharacterized. Lineage: Eukaryota; Metazoa; Chordata; Actinopteri; Siluriformes; Bagridae. The record is from RefSeq and is a predicted model, not a curated record. The transcript is spliced from 6 exons.